CCUACGUGUGGCUGCAGUAGGGAAUAUUGCUCAAUGGGGGAAACCCUGAAGCAGCAACGCCGCGUGGAGGAUGAAGGUUUUCGGAUUGUAAACUCCUUUUGUUAGAGAAGAUAAUGACGGUAUCUAACGAAUAAGCACCGUCUAACUCCGUGCCAGCUGCCGCGGUAAUACGGAGGGUGCAAGCGUUACUCGGAAUAACUGGGCGUAAAGGGCGUGUAGGCGGGAUAGCAAGUCAGAUGUGAAAUCCUAUGGCUUAACCAUAGAACUGCAUUUGAAACUGUUAGUCUGGAGUAUGGGAGAGGUAGGUGGAAUUCGUGGUGUAGGGGUAAAAUGCGUAGAGAUCAAGAAGAAUACUGAUUGCGAAGGCGACCUGCUAGAACAUAACUGACGCUGAUGCGCGAAAGCGUGGGGAGCGAACAGGAUUAGAUACCCCAGUAGUC
This 440-nucleotide ribosomal RNA is filed under the name uncultured bacterium. RNAcentral describes it as "partial 16S ribosomal RNA". It matches the Rfam family "Bacterial small subunit ribosomal RNA", at positions 338 to 795 of the family's 1533-position model. The record is from RNAcentral.